UGGCGUCUCGCUGACAGAGUUACUGCCCCUGCUCCAGAUACUGGAGAAGCUGCCUGAACAUCUCCCGUGGGAAAUCUUCGAGACGAAAGAUUCCCAACUCCNNNNNNGAGGUGAAGGCUCUGAAGUGGGGUCUAAAUCUUCACGAUUAUUUGCAACAGGAGAUGGUCGGUUGAACAUGCUGCUUGUUGUCGUUUGAUCAGGCAAAGGCUCCUGAGCUUGAGAGCUUGAGGAUCCCAGAGCAACAGGUCGACAGCCAUCACAAUACCAAUUACCUUCAGGCACUUGCCGCCCAAGACCAACACAAUAGGUAUGUGCAGGUGAAUCACAGAGAUCGCAUAGUAACAUAAGGCCAUCAUCCCCACCUUCAUGGCAUUCUGUACAAAUCAC
RNAcentral lists this unclassified non-coding RNA (387 nucleotides) under Hevea brasiliensis (rubber tree). The record is from RNAcentral. Lineage: Eukaryota; Viridiplantae; Streptophyta; Magnoliopsida; Malpighiales; Euphorbiaceae.